Leptonychotes weddellii (Weddell seal) is the source of this 104-nucleotide small nuclear RNA. The record is from RefSeq and is a predicted model, not a curated record. NCBI's taxonomy places the organism in Eukaryota, Metazoa, Chordata, Mammalia, Carnivora, Phocidae.
GGUGCUCGCUUCGGCACGUCAUAUACUAAACACUGCAGCAUGACAGAGAAGUUUAGCAUGGCCUCUGCAUGAGGAUGACAAGCAAAUUCAUUAGAGAGAGUUUC